This 440-nucleotide ribosomal RNA is filed under the name uncultured bacterium. RNAcentral's name for it is "partial 16S ribosomal RNA". It matches the Rfam family "Bacterial small subunit ribosomal RNA", at positions 338 to 795 of the family's 1533-position model. The record is from RNAcentral.
CCUACGGGAGGCAGCAGUGGGGGAUAUUGCACAAUGGGGGGAACCCUGAUGCAGCGACGCCGCGGGGGGGAAGAAGCGCCUCGGCGCGUAAAGCCCUGUCAGCAGGGACGAAAAUGACGGUACCUGGAGAAGACGCCCCGGCUAACGACGUUCCAGCAGCCGCGGUAAUACGAAGGGGGCAAGCGUUGUCCGGAUUUACUGGGUGUAAAGGGGGCGCAGACGGCGAUGAAAGCCAGGAGUGAAAGCCCGGGGCCCAACCCCGGGACUGCUCGUGGAACUGCGUGGCUGGAGUGCAGGAGGGGCAAGCGGAAUACCUGGUGUAGCGGUGAAAUGCGUAGAUAGCAGGAAGAACACCGGUGGCGAAGGCGGCCUGCUGGACUGCAACUGACGUUGAGGCCCGAAAGCGUGGGGAGCAAACAGGAUUAGAUACCCCAGUAGUC